This 336-nucleotide unclassified non-coding RNA is filed under the name soil metagenome. RNAcentral describes it as "partial contains 5.8S ribosomal RNA, internal transcribed spacer 2, and large subunit ribosomal RNA". The stretch from base 1 to 120 matches the Rfam family "5.8S ribosomal RNA", at positions 35 to 154 of the family's 154-position model. The record is from RNAcentral.
GAUGAAGAACGCAGCGAAAUGCGAUAAGUAAUGUGAAUUGCAGAAUUCAGUGAAUCAUCGAAUCUUUGAACGCACAUUGCGCCCGCCAGUAUUCUGGCGGGCAUGCCUGUUCGAGCGUCAUUUCAACCAUCAAGCCCCAGGCUUGUGAUGGGGACCUGCGGCUGCCGCAGGCCCUGAAAACCAGUGGCGGGCUCGCUGUCACACCGGGCGUAGUAGAUUUUAUCUCGCUCAGGGCGUGCUGCGGGUUCCGGCCGUUAAAAAGCCUUUUUUACCCAAGGUUGACCUCGGAUCAGGUAGGAAGACCCGCUGAACUUAAGCAUAUCAAUAAGCGGAGGA